Molecule: ribosomal RNA, 395 nt
Filed under: uncultured soil bacterium
Lineage: Bacteria
Description: bacterial SSU rRNA
Rfam family: Bacterial small subunit ribosomal RNA
Source: RNAcentral
GAUUGAACGCUGGCGGCAUGCCUAACACAUGCAAGUCGAACGGGAGUAGCAAUACUCUAGUGGCGGACGGGUGAGGAAUACGUGGGAAUUUGCCCUUAAGUGGGGGAUAACCCGGGGAAACCCGGAUUAAUACCGCAUGACCUCGAAAGAGCAAAGUGGGGGAUCGCAAGACCUCACGCUUUUGGAGAAGCCUACGUCGGAUUAGCUAGUUGGUGAGGUAAUGGCUCACCAAGGCGACGAUCCGUAACUGGUCUGAGAGGAUGAUCAGUCACACCGGAACUGAGACACGGUCCGGACUCCUACGGGAGGCAGCAGUGGGGAAUAUUGGACAAUGGGCGCAAGCCUGAUCCAGCAAUGCCGCGUGUGUGAAGAAGGCCUUCGGGGUUGUUAAAAGA